RNAcentral lists this unclassified non-coding RNA (359 nucleotides) under Hevea brasiliensis (rubber tree). The record is from RNAcentral. Lineage: Eukaryota; Viridiplantae; Streptophyta; Magnoliopsida; Malpighiales; Euphorbiaceae.
ACAAAAGCUCCUUUUGUAUCAGCUAUGUAGCGAUAGAGCUCACCAUUACGUGCUCGAUUUGUUUGGGCUGUUAUCCAUCGAAAUUGUCCAUCCAAAUUGUACUUCUUCAUAAGGUCAUGCAUCUUUUCAAUUUCAGCAAUUUCUUCUCUGUCUCUGGACUUCUUCACAUCAAUAUAACCAGCAAUCACAACAAGGUUCACCAACUCCCUCAGCUUCGUAUUCUUACCAUAUAUCUCUACCAGCCCAGUAAUGUUCUUCACCCUGUCCAGCCUUGCCAUGGAAAAAAUCAAGGGCUUUGACUUGUCGCUCAGUUUACCUAUCCACUCGUCCGUUGGCUCAGGAUCAUACAACAUCUUUUC